GAUUGUGAGGCUUCCCCAGCCAUGUGGAAACAUAUUCGCAGAGCACCCACUAGGUGCCAGUAAAUGUAUGAGAAGUCCUGUGGAAUAAGACUGAAGUUGUCCUUGCCUUCAAGCAACUUGCAAUUGCCUAAGAACACAGUUUAAAACCACAAAACUAAGCCUUGGAAAUCACAUGCUGUCAUUUCUGCGAUCGGUCAUAACCAGUCCUGAUUCCAUGUUAGAGGAGACUACAUAAGGACACAGGUACCAGAAGGGUGAUCAGAGAAGGCAUCUCUAAGAAGGUGGCAGAUGAGCAGAGGGACCCGAACAAAGUGCUUAAGAGAGAGUUGCAGGCCACUUAGAGAAAAGAGACUAACCAGCAUGGGCUACAUCAAAAAGGCUGCCAUCUACUUUCUGCUGGGUAGGGGCACCAGAGAGACUUGUCAGAAACUAGAAGGAAGGUAGAGUGCGAAAUCUGAGUGUUAAUUCCCUGGCUUCAUCAAAGGACACUGGUCUUCACAAGGAAACAGACUACAUGAUUCUCCUUUUGGGCUUCAGUAAAAACCCCCUCCUUUCAUCCCUUAGUCUAGGGAUGGUAAGAGGUCAGCAGCUAAGAAUUCUAGGUUCUUUGUGGUUUUCCCGUAUACAUGUCUUUGAUGAUAGCCCCUUUGGAAAUAAAUUCUCCUAGACUUUU
This is a long non-coding RNA of Homo sapiens (human), 673 nucleotides long. The record is from Ensembl. NCBI's taxonomy places the organism in Eukaryota, Metazoa, Chordata, Mammalia, Primates, Hominidae.